This 29-nucleotide non-coding RNA is filed under the name Bombyx mori (domestic silkworm). The record is from RNAcentral. Lineage: Eukaryota; Metazoa; Arthropoda; Insecta; Lepidoptera; Bombycidae.
UAGAAUGGUCUACCCUCGGAAUACCCCGC